AACGAACGCUGGCGGCAUGCCUAACACAUGCAAGUCGAACGAGACCUUCGGGUCUAGUGGCGCACGGGUGCGUAACGCGUGGGAACCUGCCCUUAGGUUCGGAAUAACUCCCCGAAAGGGGUGCUAAUACCGGAUAAUGUCUUCGGACCAAAGAUUUAUCGCCUUUGGAUGGGCCCGCGUUGGAUUAGCUAGUUGGUAGGGUAAAAGCCUACCAAGGCGACGUUCCAUAGCUGGUCUGAGAGGAUGAUCAGCCACACUGGGAAUGAGACACGGCCCAGACUCCUACGGGAGGCAGCAGUGGGGAAUAUUGGACAAUGGGCGAAAGCCUGAUCCAGCAAUGCCGCGUGAGUGAUGAAGGCCUUAGGGUUGUAAAGCUCUUUUACCCGGGAUGAUAAUGACAGUACCGGGAGAAUAAGCUCCGGCUAACUCCGUG
Molecule: ribosomal RNA, 433 nt
Filed under: uncultured bacterium
Lineage: Bacteria
Description: partial 16S ribosomal RNA
Rfam family: Bacterial small subunit ribosomal RNA
Source: RNAcentral